UGACAGAGAAUGAGAUGGUUGGAUCGCAUCACCGGCUCAAUGGACAUGAGUUUGGGUAACUCCAGGAGUUGGUGAUGGCCAGGCAUGCUGCAAUUCAUGGGGUCACAAAGAGUCAGAAUCGACUGAGUGACUGAACUGAACUGAACUGAACUGAUUCUGACCAGUGUGAGAUGAAAAAAUAUCAGACACUUCACAAAGUUUUGCAUGUCAUCCUUGUCCAGAGGCCAUGCUAAUCUUCUCUUUAUUAUUCCAAUUUGGGAUAUUUGUGCUGCUGAAGCAAGCACAAGAUAGUUUCUUUUAAAUUGCCUAUAUUUUCCUGCCAACUGGAUUAGAAAAGCAAGCUCUGUUCUUUUUUAAUCAAUUUAUGUUUCUCUUUUUAUCUCAGUGUUUCAGCCAUACCCCACUCCCCAUCAAUCUGCUCAAAAAAAAUUAUAGUACAUUUUAUUGUUCACAAUAGCUACCAAAGAAUCAUUUAUUGACCAAGUACACAGUCCCUAACUCUGAAGAGCCAAACAAUUUAAAAGAAUCCUUAACUUUCUGGGGCUGAACAAUUAGGAGAAAUUCAAGGAUAUGUGAGAAGACAGAUGCUGUCUUGACGAUCAUUUUCAGGUUUUAUUCAUUAUUCAUAUCAUUCUAUCUAGUUCCUUUUACUCUUUAUGUAAAUCUUUUGAAAGGUUUUGGUGUUUGUGGUUUGUGGGCUUGGGAUCAACUUGAAUCUGUAUUGGUCUUGUGAUAACUAAAGGCUAACAUGUUGCUUUAAAGUUGCCAUGACAACGGACAAAAUAAAGAACUGAUUAUGACAUGUUUGUGGGACACCUUUCACAGGAAAGAGGCAAGGGGCAGAUGGCAGCAGACUGGGACACAGAGAAGAGCACCACAAGGGUCAAGGUAUACAUCUAAGCAAAACAACAACUCAAGAUCAUGGCACAUGACUGCAGAACAGCAAAUAUUGAUCAGGGAACACAGCCAGCUGACUUCUUAUGUGAACGGGAGCCAGAAAAACCAGAGAGCUCCAAACUAAGCUUCUGCACGGACAGAGCACGGGAGAAAAUGGAACUACAAUUGGAGGGGCUGCCGAGUUCAACCACUACAGAAGAUAACACUUUGAGGCGAUCCAGCAGCGCCCCUUUGAUCAGUGGCCUUGGUGAUAGUUCACAAGUGUUACGAUCUGAUUCAAUAACAACUCGAAGAAACAGUGCAACAUGUAUGACACAACACAGUCUGAAGAACAACGAGGUACAGAAACCAUCUUCUGCAAACUGCACUGAUUUAAUUCCAGCAUCUGCAGCAGCUUCUCUCACCGAGGUGACUGGCAAGAAGAAGUCAAAGUGCCGCCAGUACUAUUAGAUCAAGUGUCCUUGGCCCAUUAAAAGGAAAAGGUGAAAUGACAUCUGAACACCAUCCAAAGAGAAUUUUCCAAGGCACAACCACCAUGCUUUCUUCUGAUACUAAUCCUAGUGUUUGAUAGGAAUAUGUG
RNAcentral lists this long non-coding RNA (1477 nucleotides) under Ovis aries (sheep). Its description in RNAcentral is "lncRNA (ENSOARG00000025387.1)". Lineage: Eukaryota; Metazoa; Chordata; Mammalia; Artiodactyla; Bovidae. The record is from RNAcentral.